GCCUUUGUGGUGUAGCUGUAGCACACUCGGUGCAUAUUCAAGAGGUCUAGGUUCAAGUCCUGGUGAGGGCA
RNAcentral lists this transfer RNA (71 nucleotides) under Stegodyphus mimosarum. It matches the Rfam family "tRNA". From Rfam's summary of the family: Transfer RNA (tRNA) molecules are approximately 80 nucleotides in length. Their secondary structure includes four short double-helical elements and three loops (D, anti-codon, and T loops). Further hydrogen bonds mediate the characteristic L-shaped molecular structure. tRNAs have two regions of fundamental functional importance: the anti-codon, which is responsible for specific mRNA codon recognition, and the 3' end, to which the tRNAs corresponding amino acid is attached (by aminoacyl-tRNA synthetases). tRNAs cope with the degeneracy of the genetic code in two manners: having more than one tRNA (with a specific anti-codon) for a particular amino acid; and 'wobble' base-pairing, i.e. permitting non-standard base-pairing at the 3rd anti-codon position. The record is from Rfam by way of RNAcentral. Lineage: Eukaryota; Metazoa; Arthropoda; Arachnida; Araneae; Eresidae.